Molecule: RNA transcript, 2445 nt
Organism: Lutra lutra (Eurasian river otter)
Lineage: Eukaryota; Metazoa; Chordata; Mammalia; Carnivora; Mustelidae
Gene name: caspase-14-like
Exons: 11
Source: RefSeq, a predicted model, not a curated record
CAUGGUGUGCUCUGGCUGUUCAAGGGGAUCCAGAACUCCAAGCUGGUCCCGGUGCUCAGAUCCCUUAGCGGGAGAGGACAGCUGUCAGAAUGGGCCCCAUUCCCCACCCAGCCCUUGACAUUUGACCCCUCCCCUGCUGAGUUCCCCCCGCCUGGAGCGUGCGCAGAACUGGUGGAUGCCUGGUCAGGGGGCCUCCUGCCCCCACAGAGCCCUUCCCAGUUGGCCUGGUAGUAGCCUCAGCAGGCCGCCUGAAGGGUGGUAGGAGUAGACAGCGACAGAACAUUCUGUCCCCUAGUCUGUGUGCCAGCCUCUCCCGCCCCAGGGCCCUUCCUCAACCAGUCCCCCAUUUAACACUUGCUUCAUCUUGAGCUCGCUGUGAUGGACUGGACUCCCCAGAUGAAGCACCUGGGGCCCCUCUGUGGACAGAUGACUCCAGUGGGGGUUUCUGCCUGUGACACAGCACGUGCUACCUCUCCCCGUACCCUUGAGCUCAAGGCUGCCAUGUGCACAUGUGCGGGUGGCGUGGGUGGUGUGCAGGAGUGGGGGGGGCGGUGAGAGCCAUGCGUGGACUUCUUGGUGCUGGUGGCUGGCUCGGAAGGGAGACACUCCUGUGUAACAGGAUCAGAUAGGAGGUGGGCCAAGAGCUAAGAAUAGGAUUGGGCAUAGGCUCCUGGCUCAGGUGGGGGUGUGCCAGUGCCAGCCAAGAAGUAGCCCGCUGGAGCCAGAGAACAGUACGGGGACUGAGGCAGUAGGGCCUAUGGCCUAGAGUUCCAGGGAAGGAGCAGAGUCCAGCUCAGCUCAUAAACAGAGCUGAUAGGACAAGGGCUCAGGGAAAGGACAAGUUUUGGGAUCUGGGGCGUCAGCACCAGGGGCAGGGGGUACACUUGGUGCUCAGAGGAAGCCCCCAUCCAGCCCCCAUGGCCUUCCUGGUGGCUGGGACCCUGCAGGUGGCCUCGCAGAUGGCAGAUGCUAGACAGAGUCUGGAAAGAAAGGGGAAGUACGGCCUGCAGGGUCCCAGGGUGGCUCUGACACUCAGCAGCCCUGGGGUGUUAGCCUCCACUGUUGCUGUCCUGGAGGGUGUGUUCCGGACCCUGGGCUUUGAGAGCUGCCAGAAGAGGGAGGCCUCUGUCCAGGGCUUCCUCGAGGAGCUGGCUGGGUUCCGGGAGCAGCUGGAUGCCCUUGGGGGCCCUGUGGGCUGUGCCCUCGUGGCCUUGGUGGCCCCCCGUGGGCAGCUGAGGCAGCCCCAGCAGUUGGUCUGGGAGCUGAGCCGCUGCAGGGCCCUGUGGGGCUGCCCCAAAGUUUUCCUGCUGCUCUCGACGACUCCUGGGGCUGCCCCUGAGCCCGGAGCCUUCCUCGCUGGCCUGAGCCAGCUCUGUGGCCGAUUUCCUCACUGGUCUCUGCUGCAGCUGCUGACGGAGGUCUUCUACAGGACAGCCAAAGAGUCAGAGGCCUCCUACUGCCCAGUCCUCCGGAGCUCCUUGAGGGGUGCACUGUGCCUGGGGGAUGUGGAACCCUGGGAGCCCCAGCCAGAACCCAGCCCCAGCGCUCAGUAUGACCUGUCCGGGACCAGAGCUGCCCUCCUGCUGUCCGUGAUCCAUGGCCGGCCUGGGGCCCAGCAUGAUGUGGAGGCUCUGGGGGGCCUGUGUCAGGCCCUGAACUUCAAGACCACCCUAAGGACAGACCCUACGGCCCAGGCUUUCCAGGAGGAGAUGGCCCAGUUCCGAGAGGGCCUAGAUGCCCACAGGGUCCCGGUGAGCUGUGCCCUUGUGGCCCUCAUGGCCCACGGGGGGCCACAGGGCCAGCUGCUGGGAGCUGACGGGCAGGAGGUCCAGCCAGAGGCACUGGUGCAGGAGCUGAGCCGCUGCAGGGCCCUGUGGGGCUGCCCCAAGAUCUUCCUGCUUCAGGCUUGCCGCGGGCGGCAGAGGGACGCUGGUUUGGGGCCCACAGCUCUCCCCUGGUUCCGGCGCUGGCUGCAGGCAUCACCAACCACCCCCUCACAUGCCGACGUCCUCCAGAUCUAUGCUGAUGCCCAAGGUGGGCGUGGCUUUCUGCUGGAGCCCGGGCUUGGCCAGGACUGGUGGGAGGGCUGUCCGGUGUGCCUCUCCAGGGCUCUGAUCGGGGUCUUGCCAAGAGGAUGGGAAGGAAAACCUUCCGAAACCGCAAGGGCCGCUGAAAAUCGAGGGCUUCUGCCCCUCCUUGAGCCUCAAAACAACACUGGAGGCAGGAAGGCAGGUCCUCUGGGGGCCCCACUCCAGGGAGCUCUGACCAAGCGGACAUCUUGAUGGUCUACGCAGCUGCUGAGGGCUGUGUAGCAUAUCGGGAUGAUGAGAAGGGCUCGGACUUUAUCCAGACUCUGGUGGAGGUCCUCAGAGCUGACCCUGGCGGAGAGCUCCUGGAGCUGCUGACUGAGGUCAACCGCCGGGUGUGUGAACUGGAGGUGCUGGG